This 1817-nucleotide unclassified non-coding RNA is filed under the name Hevea brasiliensis (rubber tree). The record is from RNAcentral. Lineage: Eukaryota; Viridiplantae; Streptophyta; Magnoliopsida; Malpighiales; Euphorbiaceae.
AGCAAAAAGCAAAGCAUUAAAACAAUAAUAAAAUUAGUAAAGUGAUUCAUAAGUAAUUGUUUUUAAUUAAAUUAUGUGUUUUGAUCAUUUUAUUGUUUGGUUUUGAGUCUGCAUUGCAUUUCUUUGUUAGUUUUGAUAACACGUGGUUUGACUUUGUGUUUUGUUAUUUUGUCCGACAUUCCACUAUUUUUCCAAAAUUUUAACCCAAAGCCACCUUGAUCCCACUUUCUCAAUUCUAUAAUUGAAUAGAGAAACCAAUGAUCGAAGAAACAAUCACUGUUUUAGUUCUUCAGAAAAGUUCAUGCCUCUCAAGAAAUAAGUGAUACUUGAUUUGUCAAGUAUCAUCAUGGAUUUUUUUCCUGUCAAUGGCAUACAUGCAUUUGAGAGCUUGAUUGGGGAAUCUUGAAAACAAGAUUAUUCACAAAAUAUAGAGUUAUAUUCUUGCAAAAAAAUUCUGUCGCAUUUGAGUAGUGGGCAUGAAACUGGGCUUUUAAGUUCAAUUAUCAAUUUUCAAGUUGAAGAACCGAAAAAUUUAUUCCAACAAAUUUAAAUACAUUUCAAAGGUGAAAGUUACUUUGAGAUAAAAAUUGAAAAGAGAAUAUCACAAAACCGAACUGAUCAUUUGAUUCUUAUUGCUAAUGUCCCUAAUAUCUAUUAAGGAAACAUUAUAUGCUGAACAGUGCAUCAAAAUUAGGGACCAUGCUUAUAGAUUCUUCUGAAGGGAGCUACAAUAGCUGUACCAUGGCUUCACUGGUUCAAUUGGCUUGGCUAGUAAACGUCUCAUGAACUGUUGCUGUCAUUAGGUAUGAGUGUGUGGGCUGCACAAACGCUUACAUACAUAAAUGCGUCUUGACUUGGUUGUGACUUUAAUCAUGAGAAUGUUGAGUAGGCCACACGAAUGCAUGUAUUAUGGCAGGAAGUAGGGAACUGGCAAAAAACUGAUUUCGCAGCAUUCAACAUUUUAAUAAAUUUAGCAAUAAACUGAUUAGAGUGGAGGAAAAGAAUCCAUAUAUCACAUAUCAAACUGAAUUGAGAUUGAAUUUUGAGGCCUAGUUGUGUUAUGGGAGUUUGGUGUGUGUAUUUUUUUUUCAUUGAAAUGUCAUUGAUUGGUUCAUUAAUGUUGAUGGGAGACUCUUUCAUCCUAAUGUCAAUUGCGAUCCCUUAGUUAUUGUGGGCCAAAGUCAAACGCCAUUCAUACCUCUUCUAGGAUUGUCUAGCAGUUCUUGUGGGUCUCGCACAGGGCUAACCAACAUUUGUAUUUGGUUGACUAGUUGAGGCUAACAACCUUUUGUACUGUUUUGAUUUCUCUUUCAAAUAGUUUGGCGAGGAAGAGGAAAAAGAUUUAAGAAGAAGGCUCUAUUUCCUGCUUCAGACGCUUAAUGAUGCCCUUAUCUGUAGCAUUUAAUAUGUUUGGUUUUCUAAGUAUUUGAGAAGAUUAGACAUGUUUAUUGGAGUAAAGAAAGAUAACUGUUUUAAACAAUGAAUCGUCAUGUUUAUUUUCAAUCUGAAAAAGCUCAGGGGAAUUGAAUAGGAGGAAAAGUGCAAGAGAUUAACUGUAUAAGCAAAGCUCAUAUCUGUAUAUAUUCCAUGGAAUGUAACUUGGGAAAAGAAAAUGAAAAGUAAUAAUUGGAAAUGAACAAAUGGAAAAGAUUAACUGUGUAUGCAAUGCUCAUAUCUGUAAUCUGUGUAGUAAUAACUAUAAUUUCUUCCCACUUAGUAAACUUUUAUAUUACAUGGCAUUUGUCCCAUACUUGCUAUUGUUCUAAAGAUUGUUGAAAUGCCUUUUGUUUUUAAUUCUCAGUUCUCAAUAGCUUGAU